RNAcentral lists this ribosomal RNA (253 nucleotides) under uncultured bacterium. RNAcentral describes it as "partial 16S ribosomal RNA". It matches the Rfam family "Bacterial small subunit ribosomal RNA", at positions 524 to 776 of the family's 1533-position model. The record is from RNAcentral.
UACAGAGGGUGCGAGCGUUGUCCGGAAUCACUGGGCGUAAAGGGCGCGUAGGCGGCGCGGUAAGCGUGCGGUGAAAGCCCGGGGCUCAACCCCGGGUCGGCCGUGCGGACUGCCGGGCUGGAGCACUGUAGAGGCAGGUGGAAUUCCGGGUGUAGCGGUGGAAUGCGUAGAGAUCCGGAAGAACACCGGUGGCGAAGGCGGCCUGCUGGGCAGUUGCUGACACUGAGGCGCGACAGCGUGGGGAGCAAACAGG